AAGGGACCCUUCAUGUUCCUGCUAAAGACAAUCAAAAAAAACCCUAGAGAGCUAGAAGCUACAGUAGCAGCCCCUCUUCAUCCUUGCCACCCUCACCUUGCUGGAAACCACCAAACCAGCAGUAGCUCCCCAAAAACCAGACCCUUAACCACGAGUUGACCCUUUCUUCUCCAGCAAAAAACCCUAAAACAAAAAUGAAAAAAUGCCUAAGAACAAAAAGGAGAAGGAACAGUCGUUUCUUUUAGGAGCAAAAACCUUUCUUCUUCACGAACAUUAGCCAUUUUCGAUCUUUCUUCAACUCCAAAGAGAGCCAGCAACCAUGCUUCUUCGAACAAAGCUUCAGCCGCAUGAGAUGGUAUAAUCUCCUUAUUACCGGCAAGGGCAAACCCAUUCGCUGCUUCUGCUGCUUCCCAAUCACAGCAGCUCACCGGAAUCAAAAUGACCAUCCCUCACAUCGAACACACAACAACCAGCGACUCCUCUCUCGUUCUUUCUUAAAAUAGAAGAUAUAUAAUUAAAAAAACCUAAAUGGUAGAGAAUAAGAUUCUGGAUUAGAAGCUGUGAAUCUCAGAUUUUGUUUUUUCUUUUAAUAAAAAGCUCUAAAAACGAAAAAUCAAAGACCAAAACUAGAAGAAAAUGAGUUUCGAUGUUCGUCAGGGUUCACUUCGCUAGGCUUCUCAUUUUUCUGGGCUUUAAAAGUUGUUUGUGAGUUUGAAAAGCCAUGGUUUACUGUUGAAUUCUGUUAAAUCCAAAUUAGCCAAACUCCUCGUUGAUUGCUAGGGAUUUUGACGUGUUUCAUGCUCCUUCUUGCUUACGCUUUGAUUAUAAAUUCUUGCAAAAUAAUCCCAAAAGGUUCAUAAGUUGUGCUUGAUUGCAGGUUUGAUCAACAAAGAAAGGAGAUGUCAAAGAUCGGCUCAAAAAGAGUGAAACAUGCACACGUACCAAAGACAAGACAACUCAGGACAAACAGGCCUAGUGCGACACUUUGUGCAAUCCGCACUAAAGAGAUUCAGAGUCCUGGAAUUUAAGACAUCAAAGUAGUGCGGCCACAGUACAUAUUGUGCGGUCUGCAUUGAAGACACCACGGCUACACUCCAUUUUAUGCGGUCCGCGAAAGCAAACUUCAGAGAGAUGUCAAGUGCGUAGCUUCAAGUCUAUGCGGUCCGCGGUCGUGUUUGUGCGGACCGUUCCUGAUGCCUCCGCGCACACAGUCCAUUCUGUACGGUCCGCGGAGCCUGAGUUCAGAGAGUUGAUUUUUCAAAGUCAAGAGCCUAGUGAGGCCGCACACCAUUUUGUGCGGUCCGCACUGACCCUGCAAGGGCAUUUUUUUCCAGUUUUUCCAACUUAGUAUAAAUAAAGCUUUUUUCCAUUUUUAGGGUAUCGGCAAUUUCCAUACUUGAGCUACGCUCGUGAAAAGCUAUUUUGUAGCCAUUUUGGGCAUUUUAACCUAGUUCUAACGAUAGAAUCUCU
This 1470-nucleotide long non-coding RNA is filed under the name Nicotiana benthamiana. Its description in RNAcentral is "long non-coding RNA (NBEN_LNC023724)". The record is from RNAcentral. Lineage: Eukaryota; Viridiplantae; Streptophyta; Magnoliopsida; Solanales; Solanaceae.